RNAcentral lists this ribosomal RNA (440 nucleotides) under Malkara sp. LB-2014a. RNAcentral describes it as "partial 16S ribosomal RNA". It matches the Rfam family "Bacterial large subunit ribosomal RNA", at positions 1831 to 2600 of the family's 2925-position model. Lineage: Eukaryota; Metazoa; Arthropoda; Arachnida; Araneae; Malkaridae. The record is from RNAcentral.
UUYUUAUAGAAAUUAUUAUAAGUAAAACCUGCUCAAUGAAUAUUUAAUAGCCGCAGAAAAUUUACUGUGCUAAGGUAGCAUAAUCAUUAGUUUUUUAAUUAAAGACCAGUAUGAAAGGUUAAACAUUUAAUUAUCUUUUUUUAUUUAUAUUUAUUUAAAUUAAAUUAAUAAUAAAAAUGUUAUUAUAUAAUAAAAAGACGAUAAGACCCUGUCGAACUUUACUGUAGUUAAGCUGGGGCAGCUUAUUAAUUAUAAUUUUAACUAAAAUACUAAAAUAAACCUCUAAAAUUGAUAUUUAAUUAAGUUACCGCAGGGAUAACAGCGUAAUUUUUUUUUAAAGUUCAUAUUAAAAAAAAAGUUUACGACCUCGAUGUUGAAUUAAUUUUCUCUAAAAUGCAAAAAUUUUACUAGAAGGUCUGUUCGACCUAUAAAUAAUUACA